Molecule: long non-coding RNA, 1193 nt
Organism: Pezoporus occidentalis (night parrot)
Lineage: Eukaryota; Metazoa; Chordata; Aves; Psittaciformes; Psittacidae
Exons: 4
Source: RefSeq, a predicted model, not a curated record
UUAGAUGUCUCCUGGCUAUUUUUCUCCCUGAAGUUUUGCCAUAUCACCUGUUACCUGAAUAUGCAAGUGCAUCAUCUUUCUCAUCUAGGACAGUAAUUUUCAUUCUGCUAAGGAGUAAGCAGCCUCAGUUUUCAAGAUGGUGCAAGUAUUUUACCAGAUUAUGCCUCCAGAAAGGAUCUGUGAAUCCCACCUGCCUUGUAAUCACCCUCCCAGCUUGUAGAUACAAAACACUGCAGGGAAUAUGCAUGGAACAGCUCGUAUCUUGAAGGAAGAAUCACCAAAUUUGAACAAAAUCACUGGAGGAAAAGCAGGUUGAAGAAUGUGUGUGAAUAUGACCUCCAAAGUCCCAAAUUCUCUAGUGCCUUUACAGAGCACUACAGCUAUCAAGAAUUACCCUUGGAAAAGGAGCUGUCAAGUAAAUGCCUUCCUGUUCACAUCAUGUGGUGUGUACAGAUCCUAAGCUCAUCCAUGCCUCAUGAUUGACCAGACAGGUGUCUUCCCUGCAAUCAAUGUUGAUUAAAAACUGGUUUUGUGGUACUGACAAUCUGAUGGGACUAAAAUAAAAUCUCCUAAACCCUCUGGUAAUGAAAAAUUAUUUGCACAAAAGGAAGGAGUACAAAAAGGAUUUCAGACUCCUAUUUAUUACCUUUAAAAUUGUAGAAAGUUUUUCUCCAGUCAGUAACUAAUCCUUCUUUUCAUUUUUGCUGUCAUUAAGCACAUUUUGAUUGAUUAUAACCAGCUCUAUCACAGUGGACCAGAACUCAUCAGAUCAGACUUCUGAAGAAGAAAAAAAGCCUUGUCAUUGGUGUGCGGAACAGAAGAGAAUCAAAGUGAAAUCAGGUUAAAGUAUCAUUCACCCAACUGAACCAAGUGCUAACAGAAGGUUAACAGUGUUGGAUGUUGUCUUUUAUAACCUCUGACCUUUUUAGGUUAUCAUCUUGGGAAAGAGAACUGGAAAUGUCUCUCUUCUGAGUAGCAAAUAUUCAGAGACAUGUGUGUUAUUAAGUAAUGGUAUCUGCUCAAGAAGGAAAUAUCCUGUCUCCAUAAAUUGAUUCAUGGGACAAAGUUGCCAGCAACCAGUGCAUGAAGUCGUGCAGGAAGUCAGAAACACGCUGAGAAUGUGUGAAAGAAGGAAGCUUCAGCAACUGCAGGGAAAUGUCUCCUACAAAAAGCUUACAAAAUUCGGGUUGUUU